RNAcentral lists this ribosomal RNA (253 nucleotides) under uncultured bacterium. Its description in RNAcentral is "partial 16S ribosomal RNA". It matches the Rfam family "Bacterial small subunit ribosomal RNA", at positions 524 to 776 of the family's 1533-position model. The record is from RNAcentral.
UACGUAGGGUGCGAGCGUUGUCCGGAUUUAUUGGGCGUAAAGGGCGCGCAGGCGGCCACGCACGUCCGUUGUGAAAUCGCCCGGCUCAACUGGGCGGGGUCAGCGGAUACGGCGCGGCUGGAGCAAGCUAGGGGGCAAUGGAACUCCCGGUGUAGUGGUGGAAUGCGUAGAUAUCGGGAAGAACACCAGUGGCGAAGGCGGUUGCCUGGAGCUUUGCUGACGCUGAGGCGCGAAAGCGUGGGGAGCGAUCCGG